RNA transcript from Zea mays, 2639 nucleotides. It is a transcript of the gene named protein-like pseudogene, with no coding region annotated. The record is from RefSeq and is marked validated. The transcript is spliced from 16 exons. NCBI's taxonomy places the organism in Eukaryota, Viridiplantae, Streptophyta, Magnoliopsida, Poales, Poaceae.
CUCCGCUCCCCGUCCACCAUCCCAGCGUGAUGGCUGGGAGGACCGCGCCUGCCCCCUCCCCUCCUUCUCUCUCACGCCCUACUCCCUCGCCGCCCCUUCAUCCCAGAUCUCGUCAUGGGCGCUACCAUGACCAACAGUUCGGUGGAGCAGGCGCCGCACGCUACGCCAUGGGACGGAGCCCGUCCCCACCCGACACCGACCACCUCCACCCCGAGCCCGUCCGAGAAGUGAGUGAUUUCCAUUUCUUCGAUUGGAUGGCGUGCGGUCGGGCCUCCGCACCUCCCUGUCCCCCUCCCCUCCUGCGGCGAUAGCUUCCUCGAGGAGAUGAGCGUGCCGCCCCCAUGAUCGGUCUACCUCCGCCGCCCCCGCGCGCACCGCAACCACCACGCCCCUCGUGCACCUUCUCGCCCGAGACUGCAUUGGAGAAUGGCUACACAAAGAUCAUGCUGCCAACAUGUGCUUCUGGAAUAGCAUGCCCUAUGCUAUCUGCAACUAUAAAGGCUAAGCUUUACCAGCCGAUGUCCUGUAUGUCGAUGCACGAUGGGAGGUACUUGUGGUUCUUCAACUUCAUGGUUGUCUGGCCUAGCCGCCAUCCGCCCGCGCAAACGCGGUACAGCUCCACUACAGCAGCAGGAGGCGGUGACGUCGCCAAAGGCUGGCAGAUACUUGAUGGCUCUUGAUAAGAAGCCUAUUGCAACUAAAGGCCACCACCUUUGUUGUCCUCACCCUAGCCGAGGACCUCAUCUCCCAGAUUCAGUGGCGACAAAAUGGUCCAUUAGUGGAAACACCAAGCAUCAUGGAGAGCUGUUUCGUCAGGAGCUUCGAACGCGAGCCAUAGACGGGGAGUUGAUGCCACUGGGCUUAUGGGCUCUUCUUUUGGGCACCAAAGCAAAGAGCAGUGGAUAAUAUUUGGAAUGGUCAUAAGUCAAACUAGACUUCCCUAGCGACAGCGAUUCAACGAAUAAGAACCAGGCCAACAUGUAGUGAGACCGAGAGCAUGAGGCUUCAGUACCUGUCUACUAACAUCAGAUGCAUUAGUUGAUGUCUUGAUUAGUUGUAGCAGGGAACCAGCUUCCAGUGCCUCUUGUACCGAUCAUCAGCAAGGGAGUGCUAGAGGAGGAGGUUAUGGUGAGUUUUGUCGCGACUAAUGGUGAGCCCACGACUACGGCCACAUCAAAGCUGGUCUGGUGGAACCUCGUGGAGCAGAUGACGAUGACGCCGACAUCCUGCACCUCUGCUGCGACGCUGCCGACCAGGACGCGGGCCCCUCCGUCGCGCGCGCUCUACAAGUCUGGAUCCAUCAUCGUGCUCGGCAAGACUGACUUCCUUAGGCCAGACAUGGAUCCCAUAACCAGAUGGACAGCCACAAAGAAAAGUGGCCUGAUUAGCUACAAGAAGCUCUUGUUCCAUGGACUCGAUCUCUGGACCGCACUAUCGUUGCCUCAACCCCUAGGUCGUGCUGCCCUCUGGCCUCCUCAUCGUACAAUUCACCAACAUCUCCAACGUAAGUGCAGCAGGUUCAGUAAUGAACUCAAAAGUGGCAUCAGAAUACUCUAAGAGUUUUUUGUUCUUUUUGCCUGGAUAUAUACCGAGGGCAAUGCAUUCAAAACUCCUAUAGAUGACGAAUCCCAUCUCUCCCUCUUUUCCCGGACAUCGAUCCCAGUCUCUUCUUCAAGCAAGAGAUGGAGCUUUCCUUGGUCGGGCUCCAAAAUGCUAGGAAAACAUCACUUGCAGCAGCUCGCAGCGACACCCCCGCCUCCUCAUCAUGGAAGCUACAAGAACACUUUGAGUAGGUGAAGAGGAUUUGCGACACUACCACAUUGUCUUUGGCCAUGCAUCAUCUCAGUGAUAAGAUAACAAGCCAACUAGAUAUUUCAAAAUUGACUGACAAGCUACAGUAAGGGAAGGUAGACUCAACUGCAUUGACACCAAAGGAGAAGUAUGAAACUUGGAAGGAGAUUAAAAUUAUGAGUUUCAGAAAAAUAGUUUCUCCAAUGUGGGCAAUGACAUUGCUUAGCUUGUAUGUUAGAGUUCAUGUCACCAUAUUAGGCAGAAUCUGACGCCUUUAAUGUAAAUGGACACAAGACCUUCGUUGCAAUGGAUGAUUAUCUUGUCACUGACAAAAUCACUGCAUUCAUAGUGCAAACGCAACAUGCAGCAACUGAAGUCCUUAAAGAAAAGCAACCAAAAGACUGUAUGAAAUGGACCAAGUAUUGCAGACAAUAUUACAAAUAUUGGACACGUUCAUGGCUCUUUCUGAAGAUACUCAUGGAGAAAUUAUCUUGUACCUGAGAAUCCCCCUUAUUUUUGCACAAUUGAUGGUUGUGUCCUGUAGUGGCUUUGAUAAUUCAUCACUCCUAAACGAUUUUAGAAAGCUAUACCAACUAAUGUGUGGAGGACCUGGGCAAGGGGUGGUAGUCGCGCUGGUUCGCUAUCCACGGCGGCAAGCCGCCUACUCGAAGAUCCCACCUCCGAGGACGCCGCUACGGGGAGGACAUGGGCACUAAUCUUGAACUAAAACUAGGGGGGUGUCUAUGUAAGUUAAUACUUUCUCUCACAUUUGCAUCAAAAUUUGUUUUCCGAUAAUCAACAGAUCUUGACAUGUUUCUAUGUACUUUCUCUCACAUUGAGAGUUUUUU